UAGUCCACGCCGUAAACGAUGUCAACUAGCCGUCGGGCUCAUUUAAGGGUUUGGUGGCGCAGCUAACGCGCUAAGUUGACCGCCUGGGGAGUACGCCGGCAACGGUAAAACUCAAAGGAAUUGACGGGGGCCCGCACAAGCGGUGGAGCAUGUGGUUUAAUUCGAUGCAACGCGAAGAACCUUACCUACCCUUGACAUCCUCAGAACUUGUUAGAGAUAACUUGGUGCCUUCGGGAAUUGAGUGACAGGUGCUGCAUGGCUGUCGUCAGCUCGUGUCGUGAGGUGUUGGCUUAAGUGCCGCAACGAGCGCAACCCCUAUUGUUAGUUGCCAGCGAGUAAUGUCGGGGACUCUAACAAGACUGCCGGCGUAAGCCGCGAGGAAGGUGGGGACGACGUCAAAUCAUCAUGGCCUUUAUGCCUAGGGCGACACACGUGCUACAAUGGACGGUACAGAGGGUUGCCAACCCGCGAGGGGGAGCGUAAUCUCAGAAAGCCGUUCCCAGUUCGGAUCGGAGUCUGCAAC
RNAcentral lists this ribosomal RNA (523 nucleotides) under uncultured bacterium. RNAcentral's name for it is "bacterial SSU rRNA". It matches the Rfam family "Bacterial small subunit ribosomal RNA", at positions 791 to 1311 of the family's 1533-position model. The record is from RNAcentral.